CCUCGCAGCCCUCCAUGGGCGUUUCCUCCCUAGACUUCAGGCCGCCCUAUGUGGGCGGCCUCUUUUCUAGAACACC
This 76-nucleotide small RNA is filed under the name Methylobacterium sp. 4-46. Its description in RNAcentral is "Makes More Granules Regulator RNA (mmgR)". It matches the Rfam family "Makes More Granules Regulator RNA (mmgR)". From Rfam's summary of the family: SuhB later renamed mmgR (makes more granules regulator) was a putative non-coding RNA found multiple times in the Agrobacterium tumefaciens genome and related alpha-proteobacteria. The record is from Rfam by way of RNAcentral. Lineage: Bacteria; Pseudomonadati; Pseudomonadota; Alphaproteobacteria; Hyphomicrobiales; Methylobacteriaceae.